AGAGUUUGAUCCUGGCUCAGAGCGAACGCUGGCGGCAGGCUUAACACAUGCAAGUCGAGCGGGCGUAGCAAUACGUCAGCGGCAGACGGGUGAGUAACGCGUGGGAACGUACCUUUUGGUUCGGAACAACCCAGGGAAACUUGGGCUAAUACCGGAUAAGCCCUUACGGGGAAAGAUUUAUCGCCGAAAGAUCGGCCCGCGUCUGAUUAGCUAGUUGGUGAGGUAAUGGCUCACCAAGGCGACGAUCAGUAGCUGGUCUGAGAGGAUGAUCAGCCACAUUGGGACUGAGACACGGCCCAAACUCCUACGGGAGGCAGCAGUGGGGAAUAUUGGACAAUGGGCGCAAGCCUGAUCCAGCCAUGCCGCGUGAGUGAUGAAGGCCCUAGGGUUGUAAAGCUCUUUUGUGCGGGAAGAUAAUGACGGUACCGCAAGAAUAAGCCCCGGCUAACUUCGUGCCAGCAGCCGCGGUAAUACGAAGGGGGCUAGCGUUGCUCGGAAUCACUGGGCGUAAAGGGUGCGUAGGCGGGUCUUUAAGUCAGGGGUGAAAUCCUGGAGCUCAACUCCAGAACUGCCUUUGAUACUGAAGAUCUUGAGUUCGGGAGAGGUGAGUGGAACUGCGAGUGUAGAGGCGAAAUUCGUAGAUAUUCGCAAGAACACCAGUGGCGAAGGCGGCUCACUGGCCCGAUACUGACGCUGAGGCACGAAAGCGUGGGGAGCAAACAGGAUUAGAUACCCUAGUAGUCC
Molecule: ribosomal RNA, 744 nt
Filed under: uncultured bacterium
Lineage: Bacteria
Description: bacterial SSU rRNA
Rfam family: Bacterial small subunit ribosomal RNA
Source: RNAcentral